CACACCAAAUGUUUGAGUAAAUGCUCUCAAUAGUAUCCAAUUACUAUGAAGAAUUACAAUUGAGUGAAUACAAAUGAGGGGAGGCCCUUAUUUAUAAUUGAGCUUCCCCAAAACCAAUGGUACAGAUUGAGUUACAUCAAUGGUUGAUAUUAAAGUCUAUCUACAAUUAAGAGUCCUAAUGGAUUUAAACUCUAUACAAUUGUAUCAAUUUAGGAUUUACCCUAUUUACCCUAGUAAUUCUAGUUUUACUCGAGUGCUUCAUUAGACCACCAUAGCUUCAAGUAGAUAGGCUUUGUAUGGCCCAAAAUUUGCCCGGGUUUAAACCCAUUCCCAUGACCCAUUUACAUUUUACAUCAACCCAUUUUAACCAAAUACCCAAAUCUAAACUAAUGGCCCAAUUAAAAAAACCCAUUACAGGCCCAACUAUCCCACAACCUUUUGUCAGAAACCAAAAACCCUAGCCACCUUGUUCCAUUCGGCCACCUACCCUCUGACACCACGCCACUGACGUCAGCCCACUUGCACCGACCACCAACUCUGCAGCACCGUUCAACUGCUCCUGCAAGACAAAAAAGAGACAAGAUAGAAAAUAAAAGAAAAUAAAGUUGUAUGGCUAUAUAAGCCAAUUAAAACCGAUAUCAAAGGGGUUUUUUUUUGGAUAUUCAAGAACAAACAAAUUAAUACAAAAUUAGAUUUCAAUACAUACGCUAGCAUUGAUUUCAAAAAAAAAUACAAGAAUAACACCAAUCGAGCAACCAAAAUACCGAUAUCAAGGGUAUAAGGUGAUUUAGUCUUUUUGUUUUUUUUUUAUUUUCGAAUCUAUUCCUUCCAUAUUUAUAAAUACAUAAUAUAUAAAUAAAAAUAAAUUUUUUUAAAAAAAUACAAAAAUAUAUAUAUACCUUUUUCGAUUUUCUGGCCACCGUGUACGGUGGCCGGCGGUGGCCGGCAUCGGUGCCGACAACGGUCCGGCGAUCGGACCGGUGACCGGCCCAUGGCCAGAAAUCCCCCUCCCCCUCCCUUCUCUCUUCCUUCUCUCCUUUUUU
Molecule: long non-coding RNA, 1043 nt
Filed under: Gossypium barbadense (sea-island cotton)
Lineage: Eukaryota; Viridiplantae; Streptophyta; Magnoliopsida; Malvales; Malvaceae
Description: long non-coding RNA (GBAR_LNC011713)
Source: RNAcentral